CUGCUCGUCGCGAGGUUCCGCGCCCGGGCCCGCAAGGCCGGGAUCGGCGAGGUCACGAUCGCCGGCAAGAACGUCCGGUUCGCGCCGGUCAGCC
This 94-nucleotide transfer RNA is filed under the name Nocardioides deserti. RNAcentral's name for it is "tRNA-Cys". The record is from RNAcentral. Lineage: Bacteria; Bacillati; Actinomycetota; Actinomycetes; Propionibacteriales; Nocardioidaceae.